This 441-nucleotide long non-coding RNA is filed under the name Monodelphis domestica (gray short-tailed opossum). RNAcentral's name for it is "lncRNA (ENSMODG00000041645.1)". Lineage: Eukaryota; Metazoa; Chordata; Mammalia; Didelphimorphia; Didelphidae. The record is from RNAcentral.
GGCAGCCUUGGCACAGAGUGAGCCAGGGAGCGCUCCUCCCCUCCUAGGUGCCUGGUGUCCGCUGCUCUGCGAAAGCUCCCGAAGGCAAAUCGUUGGUCCUAGGGCUCCCUCCGCCCCUUUCCACAUGCGGUCCUGACCUGUCCGUGACUCACCCCGGCAUUGGGUUCCGCGUGCGCGCGUGUGCUAGUGCGAGUGAGUGUGUAUGCGUGUGUAUGCUGGAGAGGGGCGGGGAGGAUCACUGCCCAACACUCCUCCUGCACGUGCCCCUCUAGUUUUUCUUCUUCCUUUGGGGCCCAAGGCUCUGCAGAGGUGGGCACUGGCGCUGUCCUGAAGGGCAAAUUUAACCCGGGACCUUGCUUCGCCCCUAGCUCUUCUGGGCAAUCUCCUUUUCUCUUUCCCCAGGCAUCUUCAUGGAUAAGUAAAACUUUUUUGCAAGCUUGA